This 459-nucleotide ribosomal RNA is filed under the name Salmonella enterica. Its description in RNAcentral is "bacterial SSU rRNA". It matches the Rfam family "Bacterial small subunit ribosomal RNA", at positions 1 to 456 of the family's 1533-position model. The record is from RNAcentral. Lineage: Bacteria; Pseudomonadati; Pseudomonadota; Gammaproteobacteria; Enterobacterales; Enterobacteriaceae. RNAcentral also lists the same sequence under 1 other name.
AAAUUGAAGAGUUUGAUCAUGGCUCAGAUUGAACGCUGGCGGCAGGCCUAACACAUGCAAGUCGAACGGUAACAGGAAGCAGCUUGCUGCUUCGCUGACGAGUGGCGGACGGGUGAGUAAUGUCUGGGAAGCUGCCUGAUGGAGGGGGAUAACUACUGGAAACGGUGGCUAAUACCGCAUAACGUCGCAAGACCAAAGAGGGGGACCUUCGGGCCUCUUGCCAUCAGAUGUGCCCAGAUGGGAUUAGCUAGUUGGUGAGGUAACGGCUCACCAAGGCGACGAUCCCUAGCUGGUCUGAGAGGAUGACCAGCCACACUGGAACUGAGACACGGUCCAGACUCCUACGGGAGGCAGCAGUGGGGAAUAUUGCACAAUGGGCGCAAGCCUGAUGCAGCCAUGCCGCGUGUAUGAAGAAGGCCUUCGGGUUGUAAAGUACUUUCAGCGGGGAGGAAGGUGUUG